RNAcentral lists this ribosomal RNA (274 nucleotides) under uncultured Actinomycetes bacterium. RNAcentral describes it as "uncultured actinobacterium partial 16S ribosomal RNA". It matches the Rfam family "Bacterial small subunit ribosomal RNA", at positions 28 to 276 of the family's 1533-position model. Lineage: Bacteria; Bacillati; Actinomycetota; Actinomycetes. The record is from RNAcentral.
GACGAACGCUGGCGGCGUGCUUAACACAUGCAAGUCGUACGACAGCAUUCCUUUUGGGGGUGUUUGGAGUGGCGAACGGGUGAGUAACACGUGAGUAACCUGCCCUCUUCUUUGGGAUAACGUGCGGAAACGUGCGCUAAUACUGAAUAUUCUUAUUCUGCUGCAUAGUGGGGUGGGGAAAGGGCUGUGGGGUCUUUAGGGGCUUUGUGGUUUGGUGGGGGAUGGGCUCGCGGCCUAUCAGCUUUGUUGGUGGGGUGAUGGCCUACCAAGGCGU